GGGGGGGGUGUUGAUUUUGCCUCCCAGGGGACAUUUAGCAAUGUCUGGAGACAUUUUGAUCUUCGAGCUUCUGGCAGUUAGCGCACAGAUGCUGUUAAGUACCCCACAAUAAACAGGACAGCUCCCAACAAAGAUCCACCCCCACAAGUCAACAGUGCAAGAAAUCCUGCUCUAGGGUAAUGGCAACGCCCUACAUCUUGAUUGGCUACAUGGGUGUCAAACAUAUUGGUCAAAACCCCCCAAGCUAUUUUGCUUUAAGUAAUUAUACCCCAAUUUAGAAAGACACUGAACAAAAGCAAAUCUUUUUGGGCGGCCCUACAAAUCCUGCGCUAACCACAGUGCCCUCUGGGGUUGAGAAGAGAUCUUAACCGGGAAGAGCCCAUCAAUACCCUGGCGAUGAGAAACCUGACGCACAAUGAAUGGGUAACCAAUAUAUGGGACACUUUCCCCAAGAAGUUUAGAACAUACCGAUAGAGUUUUUAGUAAUUUUAAAACAUUUCAGAAAUAGGUCUAUGGAAGAGCAUACGAAGCUAGGAAGAGAGAACUUUUUAAGAAAACAUCAGGGCACCAACAGACCUUGCCACAGACCACGCCUUAGUGCAACAGUCAGGGAAGUGUUCAUAAAGGGUAACAAUCCCAUUAGACUGUGUAUAGCUGGAGCAUUUAUUCCACAAGUGUCUUCAUAGAUCAUAAAUUAAUAAGUUAAUUGUCACAGCAACUCUCCAAGAUACAGAAAAUGUUAAUCUUGCCAUGAAUAAGCUGCAUCUUAAGAGUUUAGAUGCUGUGCUGAAGUCACCCACUCCUGGGGGUGGUCAUGGAUGGAGGAAACACAGAGCAGGGACUGAAUGGGGCCAGGGCCACAUGCAGCCCGCAGCCUGAGCCUCCCGUUCCACGCCUGGACCUCAUUCUGGGUACCUGGGAACCCAAGUUCUUUGUCCAGUGACCCCCAAGCCCACUUCUGUGGCCAGCGUGAGUCUCUUCCCUGGGUCUCUUGUCCUGCAAAUAGACCACCCCACCAGUGUGAACAUGCCCUGUUCACAGGGCAAGAGAGGAAGGUACAGUGAAAGCUUGGGUUUGUGGCUGGGUCAUUCACAUGCAAAGUUGUCCCUGUGCCUUUGUUCUCAGUAAGCACAAGCUUCUACCUAAAUAGUCCCUCACGGAGUAAAAAGCCGCUGUCUCAGCAAUUUGGGUAGAUGUGUGCUGGCCAAAGGCGCAAUUACCUCUUAAUGCUUCCUCAAUGGGAAUUUUUUCUUCUGUGGUCACCAUGUCACGGACCUGACCCAUUGCAGUUCAGGUUAGAUUUAUGCAGCCAAAUCCAUUUUGGUGUCAAGUUUGAAAACAAAGCUACGCUUUCUUGGGGCGCCUGGGUGGCUCAGUUGAGCGUCCAACUCUCUGAUUUCGUCUCAGGACAUGAUCUCACGCCUACUGAGAUGGAGCCCUACAUGGGGCUCUGCACUGACAGCCUGGAGCCUGCUUGGGAUUCUCUCUCUCUCCCUCUCUGUGCCCCUCCCCUGCACUCUUUAAAUAAAUAAACAUUAAAUUUUAAAAAAUUAGAAACUGCUUUCUCAAACCGACUCACAUUUUGGAAUUGCAUAUAUGGGACCUCAGGCCUAUACUAGGAGUUUCAUUGAGAUCUCUUACUGCCCCCCCCCCGCCGCCCCCCUGCAGACUCAUGGCCCAAGCAAGCUGUUUCUUUAAGCAAGUGAAAUGGCCGGCAAAUUCCUCCUCCUCCUCGAUCCAGCAAUAUCGUUGCAGCAGAAAUUCCUCGAAGUUUCCAGAAUGUGGAUGCCACACUAGAGCGCUGAGGUAGCUUCUGUUAUAUUUUCCAGCGGAAAUCAGGGAGGGGAGAAAUGUGUUUUCUCAGUGUGCUCUCUUAACCCAAAAGUCCUGCUUUUGACAUAUAACCCUGGAAGCGGGGUCAGGGAGGUCAAGAGCCGUGCACUUUCCAGUAAGGUGUCCUGUUUUGCUAAUCAAGGUCUUUACUACUAUGAGCAAGUACUAAGUUCUUUCACAGGUAUUUACUGCAGUGUCUGCCAGUGUGUGCAUGUGUGUGUGUGUGUGUGUGUGUGUGCUGCUUCAUGUUUCAUGGCAUCAUUUCAAAUACCCCCUUCAAUAUGCAAACCGUCUUUAAGCUGCUGUUGUGUGUUUUACCAUAUAGCUGGCCUCAUUUAUGUGUUAGGAACAUUUUAUCCAUUAAUCUAUACCAACCAAUUAUCUGUAGACCCAAGUAUUACAAGCCCUUGCUUUGGCAAUUUGGAAAUCAACACAUGAGUUUUUCUGGCUUUAGGAGACAAAACACUCUCGUUCACCACUGUGUCCGUCAGAUUGGAAAUGUCUCACCUAGAGCAGCAAAGUUGUCAAAGAACUCUAAUGGGGGAAACAGACAUGUAGGGAAAAUAAAAAAUUUCUUGUGUAUCUUCCUUGGUCCAUCAUAAGAACCAAAUUUUGAAUAUUUAUGGGUAUGUCCAACGGAAACAAUGGUCUGGAGCACACCUCGACUCAACUAGUUGUGGAAGGUUUAAUCCUCUGUAGACCAGUGUGAAAGAGGUGACCAGGAAGCCAGAUUAGAAUGAGCCCCAUUUGGCACCCAGGUGGCUCAGUCGGUUAAGUGUUCGACUUCGGCUCAGGUCAUGAUCUCAUGGUCCGUAAGUUCAAGCCCCACAUCUGACUCUGUAUUGACAGCUCAGAGCUUGGAGUCUGCUUCAGAUUCUGUGUCUUCGUCUCUCUCUGCUCCUGCCCAGCUUGCUCGCUCACUCUCGCUCUCUCUCAAAAAUAACAUUAAAAAAAAUAUUUAAGGAAUGAGCCCCCGUCUGUAUGCAAAACUCUAACCCAAAUCUCACACAUGAAGAGUCAGUAGAUCAUCAGUGGGACUUUGGUCUUUAUCUCCAGCUUCUACAUACCCUGAAACCCAAAUUCUGGACAAAGAAGUGUUUUAGGACCAGAACACAGGGCAGCAAGGGCUCUGAAAUCAAGGAGCCCUGAUCUCACCAGGUCUAGGUCUAGUGUUGGAAAUUAAUUUCACCUCUAAAACCUAACAAACCUAACUGCUCAUUAUUGAAGUGUGCCUCUUCCCAUCUACCCCAUAGAUUGGUUGGGAAAAUUAGAGAACGUUCUUGAAAGCGCUGGCCAACUCAGAAAAGGCAUUCAAAAGAGGUGGCUUUGAUCAUUGUCACAAGUGAAAAAUUCUCACCCCAAGCCACUAUCUUUGUCAAAAGACCAUGAUCUAUUACAGCUAUUAUGUUCUCCAGUCUGCACUAUCUUCUAAAAAGUUGACUAGAAACCUGGCUUCCGUUGCGAUGAUGCCCAGUCAGCCACCAACCUGUAGAAGGUGCAUUUCUUGCACCAGGUGUUGGCCAACAGAAGUGCACAAGCCAGCUGCUGGGCCAACUUGCUGGAGGUGAGCAGGGGCCCAAGAUGGUUACUCAGAGCUUCAGGCUGAAGGGCUUUCUCCACGUGCAUGACACUGAGCUAGGAGCUGGAAACCCAACUCAAAAGAGAGUCCUUGUCUUCAAAACAGCUACCAAAGGCCAUGGAAUAAGGCAGCCAAUGCCCAGCUCCAUAAGAGUACAGAAUACAGAGCUCUGAGCUUACUAAGCCCAGCAUCUGGGGGGAGCCUUGAAGAUGGGCAAAAUUUGAAGAAGGGUAACUGGAAGCGAAUACAUUGCAGCGGGCGGGGGCGGGGAGUCACUUCCCUUUCACCAGCAAAAUUAUCAGAAAAAGGUAAGAGUUGACCCCCCUAGAGCCCCAUGGAGUCAAGCUGGCCUCUUGGGCCAGGCAUGACUCUGUGUGGGUGUUAUAUUGGGACAUGGGCACAAGCAUUUCUCUGUCCCGUUCCCUCUGUGGAACUUCAGCUUUGCUUUUUUUUCUCCUAACAACAUAAAUCUAGGGACACACUGAAAAGGAAUGUUCCUGUGCCCACUGAAGGCUAAAACUAGAGCAGACAAAAAUGCAUUCAACAAUGCUUUAGCAAUGUGCAUGCAGUCAGCUUCUAUAGCUUGAAACAUGGGGGCACAGAAUCUCAAAAUUCUGCCUCCUUAGCUACUGACUUAGGAACAGACCUCAGAUAAUCUCCUCCACUGCCAUAGGCAGAAUCUGCAGGAGAAGUCAUUCCAGAAAGUUCCCCCGAGCUUGAACAUCUGUGGCUCUCAGAUAUUUCAUUCCUGGCCCAGACUUCCUGUCUUUGCCAACCACUAUGAUUAAAAAUGCAUCCAAAGUAAACCUCAGACAACUGAACCUUCCUCAUCAACGUGGGGGGCACUUGGUGCUAGAGGGUGGUCACCCCAAGUCAUUUGUAAACGUUGCCCCAGGUGCUCAGCAGCUGGCUGGAACAGCUCAUGAAAUUCUAUCCCAGCUCCCAGCACACCAAGAAGUAACCCAGGGAAGCCAACAACCCCAUCCCACCUGUGGAAAUUAAUGGCGCCAGCUCAGCAUGUUGGCAGAGAAAAGAAAUUUACACAGCAAACAAACCUGCUGAAAAAAUUGGAAAUAUUUGCUUAACAGGAGCACAUUGAUUAAAGUCACUCCAAGAUCAAAUUACUCUCCCAGCCCCGGACGAUUUCACCCCGGAGGGCAGCAGACUUGUAUUGGCAGAGUAUUGAUGAAAAGCUCUCUCUCUGUCUAGAUGCGCCAUAUUAAGGGCGUUAAUCUCAGAAGUGGCCCAUAAUUUUACUCCUACACUCUUCAUUUGGAAGAGUUUAAUUCCAAUACAAACAGUAAUAAGGAAAUAAAACCAUGGAUGUAUGUCUUUCCAAUACCCGUCUUUGGUAAGAAUCUUUCAUCUUUAUGGUCAAUUAAAGCUCAUCUUAAACAUAAAGUUAAGCUCGUUUCAAACAUUCUUCCAAGGUUAUUCGGGCUUUCUGAAAUCCUCUACAACUUAAAGGAAACUAAAAAGCAGAGCCAAAGCCACUUCUUAACUACAAAGGCAAACAAGUCACCAAAUAAAUGUUUAACAGGAGCGUUAUCACAUCACCUAUAUGGACAGCAUAUUUGUACACGAGGAGGGCACGCAUAAGGAGGGAGCCAUAUCAGAGAAAUUAGCUGUUCCAAGAAAGGUCCCUCACCUGGUACCUGGAGAGAAGGGCAUUUGAGGGACAGGCCAAGGUGGGCAAGCUACAUAGGGUAGUUUAUCGGCUGUUUGAAGAGGCUGGUUGGGUCUCUCUAGGCCAGUGCAGCUAGCCAGCAGAGAAACCAGUUCCCCAUGGCCACCCUGAAAAUAAUUCAUAUUCCAUUUGCCACAGCACUGAGUAGGGGCAGCCUGGGCUUUGUGUGCCUCUGCUCCCUAAGAUCAGCCAUGAUGAAGCAAGAACAUCUCACACCCUGGCUCAGGUGGCUUCUCUUGUGACCCUUCGAGAGAUGAAAGAGCCCGUGCCUCACGCUAGAAAAGGACACUUCAGUGCAUGUCUUCUCGGCCCAGGUGCCUAAAUACGCAAUAGCACCAAGGCCCAAGGACCUAAAGGCAGCAAGAAAAAAAAGCAAGUGCAUUGGCACCGACUGACUACGCACACCUGGACCUCCUAGCUUCUGCUGCCCCGUCUCCAGCCAGUAGCACUCCGGGCUGCCCACCCCUCCCACGCAGGGUGUUUGGACAAUGCUGAGCUCGGGCCUGGAAUCACCCUCCCUUCUUCACUCCCAAGCGUCCAUCUCCAAGCCGUAGGAACAUGCAACUCUCCCCCCAUUCGGGGAAUGUCUCUAGCCGAGGACAUUCUGCACUGGCAGACCAGACGCCCAAGUUACAAUGUCAGCGAAUGCUCCAAGAAGUUCCCCUGGUGGACAAAGGAUGAGCUCCCUACACCCUGCUGGAAAUCAGAGAAUCCACGCUUCCCACCCAGCCACCUGCCUCUGAAGAGGAUGCAGAGCCGCCUUGCAGGAGAUCCCCGUCGUUUGAUUAUGAUGUGCGGUGAGCAGCCAGAUGUCACUCUGAAGAAUAAAUUUUUUGGCUGAAGAGAAAAUGCAUGCUCUACUUCCUGAUAAUUGAUUUGCAAGGUUCCAAUUUCAGCAGCAAAUUGCUUCUGCUGCCCAGCUGGUUUUCUGGAUGAGGGGAUCCCAACGCAUCCCCAUGGGGACCUGUGCCCUCUUCAUGUCAGCCCUUCACAUGGAUGCCAUGCUUCUCGCUCACGGGAAUCACCCCACUUGUCCCUUGAUGCUUCGUGACCAUUGCUGCCUUCAUGCAGCUGGACAACAAGUCUGGAGAUAACCAGCCCAGGUCGAAAGUAAGGCAAUUGCAUUGAGAGAAGUGUCUGAUUCAGGGAAGGGGGUAGAAGCGUCUGAUCGGGGAAGUGUGCUUUAAGGCUCAAAUACCCCCAAGAUAUUAAGACAUCACACCCACCAAAGGAGACCCAUGAAAUUGCAGUAAAAAAAUAUAUAUAUAUAUAUAUAUAUGUUCACUGAAUCCCGGAAGCCUUCUCCUUAGGAGAGGAAACACCCCAGGGUUACGAUGCCCAGAGUCCCAAGAAAGCAGUAGGACACCCCAGGAGUGUUUGUUUUAGUAACUUUUCCUCAGUGCUCGUCCCUCCCUCUCGCCACCUACUUCUCUUGCGCUCAUGCACAGAAAGGGUAAUCUAUCACUUCCAACACGUAGGACCCAGAUUCUAGGCUGCUGCCAGCAAAUAGGGAAGAGGAAGGUAGGGGUAUCAGGGAUUCCUUAUCACAGAAGGUGAGCUUCAGCAGGUAUGGUCUAAAACAAAGGCAAGAGCCACUCUCUUGUAACUUUAGUUGGCCAAUAUCCCCAUCUGUUACCAUGACUGCUAUCUGAUACUGUUUAUGUGCAGUACAUAGGGAAUAGAGAGAAACAGAGUCCUACAGACCCACAGACACAAACAGAAGAACAUGUACACACACACACACACACACACACACACACACCCCUUUGCUCUAUUCCAAGCUUAGCAAAGGAAAGAGAAGAUGAUGCCUUAAGCCACCACUUCACAACCUCAGCCCUCUACUCUGGGCUUUGCAAGUGUCACACACGUCCCUGCAAGGGGGCGUCACUGUCCUCAUUUAACAAAUAGGAAAACUGAGGCUCAGAAGAGUUAAGUAACACAAGCUCUACAGCUGGAUUGCUUAGAGCCGAAAUUCAGAUCCACGUCUGUCACAUCUUCCCGAGCCUGGGCCUCGGCACUCGCCGUUUCUCUUGAUGCAGGCCACAAAUCACCAUCGCUUGAAGACGAGCCCGGCACCACCCCUAAUUCCGUGCUUCAGUACGUUCAGUGAUUUCUGCUGAUAAAUAACCACUGUCCCCACCGAGCAAAAAGGACACACGCAAAGGAAACAGAGAUGAGCAGUCAGCAGGAGUUGAUCUGGUCCCGUUCGUCACAGCCGCAACUAUUUUAGAAUCACUGUAAUAGCACAUGAUAUGCAACUCUUCCUUUUUGUCUCAGAGUUUUCUGUUUGGGCAGGAGCCCGAGGGGCCUGAAAAGCGGAAAACAGCAGUGACGCUGGGCGCCCCCAUCACGAAGCCAUGUGGUGGGCAUAGCAGGCUGUGCGUGCAGGAGGCAGAAUGCCACUUCUGCCUGCAAGGGCCGGUCACCCACCUCCUUCCUUCAAAAGGUGGCAAGAGAGAGAAAGUCUCUUCAGAGGAGUUGAGCUGGGCUGUAGGGGUUCCCACACACCUCCACAGUAUGUGGGCUCUGUCGCUUGACCUCAAGCUGCGUGAAGAAACUUCAAAAGCGUUAACACAGGGGCACCUGGGUGGCUCCCGCGGUUGAGCGUCUGACUCUUGAUUUCAGCUCAGGUCAUGAUCUCACGGUUCGUGGGAUCGAGUCCUGUGUUGGGCUCUGCACUGACAGCACAGAGCCUGCUUAGGAUUCUCUCUCUCCCUCUCUCUGUGCCCCUUCUCCACUCUCUCUCUCUCUCUCUCUUUCACACACACAUGUAAAUAAACAUUUGAAAAAAAAAUGUUUAAGUGUUAACACGGAGCAUUUAGGAGUCAUAGGGAUUGGCGUCUACACCUACCUGGGGAGAGACUAAGGAUGAAAGGCCGCGAUUCAUCCUCCCUGCCUGGUGGCCCAGCACUGGAGCAAGGUUUACUUGCACAGGUAGCUGGCAAAGGUAAGUGGGGUUUUGUGGUUGCUGUUUGCGGGGAAGAGCCAGCCAAAGGUCCCAUCCAAGAGGAUCCUCAAGAUAUUAAUUAUUCUAGCUUCAUCUUAAAUCUUUGUAUCCAGUGAAUAUCCUCCCCAGUUUGUGCUUCUUCGGGGAGGCCUUGGCGGUCCCUUGAUCUUCUAUUGAAAACUUACUUCAGUUUGUGAUACACCAAUGGAAAUUCCAUUUGGAAUUGUUAUAGAUCAAUUUGGGGAACAUUAUCUCCCUUAUGAUAUUCAAUUAUCCUAUCCAUAAACAUGGUAUGUAUUUUCAUUUACUUAGGUGUUUUUUAAAGACCUAACAAAAUUGAUAAACCCCUAGCCAGAUUUAUCAAAAAGAAAAAGGAAAGGACCCAAAUAAAUCAGGUCACGAAUGAAAGAGGAGAGAUCACAACCCACACCACAGAAAUACAAGCAAUAAUAAGAGAAUAUUAUGAGCAAUCAGAUGCCAACAAAUUGCACAAUCUAAAGACCUAAAUGAACUUUUAUAUAUUUCAUCUGCAAGAGUCUUACAUAUCUGCUUUUAGAUUUAUCUCCCAAGUACCGUAUUUCUAUUUGUUUUAAAUGCUAUCACAUAUUCUGACGGCUACCUAGAAAUGCAACUUAAAUUGUGUUCAUUUUAUAUUCACAGAAACUAUUAAUAAUUUUAAUAAUUUGCCUGUAGAUCUUUUAGGCUUUCUGUGUAGGAUUUCAUGUCUAAGUAAUAACGUUCUUCCUUCAUUUCAUUUAAUUUGUUGCUUUGUCUAGGAUUGUAGUACAAAGUUUAAAAGAUGCAGCUAGAGUAGGCAUCCUGGUCCUGCUUCUUAUUUUAAAGUGUUUCUAGGGGCGCCUGGGUGGUGCAGUCGGUUAAGCGUCCGACUUCAGCCAGGUCACGAUCUUGUGGUCCGUGAGUUCGAGCCCCGCGUCAGGCUCUGGGCUGA
Long non-coding RNA from Felis catus (domestic cat), 8995 nucleotides. RefSeq lists it as uncharacterized. The transcript is spliced from 3 exons. NCBI's taxonomy places the organism in Eukaryota, Metazoa, Chordata, Mammalia, Carnivora, Felidae. The record is from RefSeq and is a predicted model, not a curated record.